This 489-nucleotide ribosomal RNA is filed under the name uncultured bacterium. RNAcentral's name for it is "bacterial SSU rRNA". It matches the Rfam family "Bacterial small subunit ribosomal RNA", at positions 20 to 507 of the family's 1533-position model. The record is from RNAcentral.
UGGCUCAGGACGAACGCUGGCGGCGUGCUUAACACAUGCAAGUCGAACGAGGGAAUUGAAAGCUUGCUUUGAAACCCGAGUGGCAAACGGGUGAGUAACGCGUAGGCAACCUGCCGUUGAGAUGGGGACAACAUCCCGAAAGGGGUGCUAAUACCGAAUGUUGUGAGAGCUUCGCAUGGAGCUUUCACUAAAGAUGACCUCUCCUUGGAAGUUAUCGCUGAAAGAUGGGCUCACGUCUGAUUAGUUAGUUGGUGAGGUAACGGCUCACCAAGACUGCGAUCAGUAGCCGGACUGAGAGGUUGAACGGCCACAUUGGGACUGAGAUACGGCCCAGACUCCUACGGGAGGCAGCAGUGGGGAAUAUUGGGCAAUGGGCGAAAGCCUGACCCAGCAACGCCGCGUGAAGGAAGAAGGUCUUCGGAUUGUAAAGCUCUGUCUUUAGGGACGAUAAUGACGGUACCUAAGGAGGAAGCCACGGCUAACUACGUG